AAAAUUAAACAAUUGUCUUGUGCAAUACAUACUGUCUUUUUAAGAACUCUGGUGAAACGCGUUAUUCAUGGGAGGAGGAAAACGUUUUGAAUAUCCUAAGUAUGUCUGGUCCCCAUCAGGGGGUUGGUGGUGUGAACCUAGAAAUUGGAAAAGAAAUACUGUUAUUGGUUUUGGGAUGAUGCUUGCUGCUUGUGUUCCCAUAUGCUGGCUUUCUUGGCAGUUAGAGAGGCGACCAGUUCCACCCUACAGACAUAUAUUUUCACAACGUUUUGCAAAACAUGCAAAGGAAGAUGAUCCAUCUCUCUGCUAGGACACAUUUUGUAUCAAAACAGAGACAGCACUAUUUAUGACAGAAAUUUUUGAUAAAGAUAUGAAACGAAUGCAUAACUUCUCAUGUUUUGAGAUCAAUUUGGAAAAUUGUUUUAGCGCUAAUGUUUGUUUUUUGAUAAUGUCAAUCAUGUUUUCAGGGUAUAUAAACAUUUGCUGCUAAA
This is a long non-coding RNA of Xenia sp. Carnegie-2017, 491 nucleotides long. RefSeq lists it as uncharacterized. Lineage: Eukaryota; Metazoa; Cnidaria; Anthozoa; Malacalcyonacea; Xeniidae. The transcript has 4 exons. The record is from RefSeq and is a predicted model, not a curated record.